AGAGUUUGAUCAUGGCUCAGAACGAACGUUGGCGGCGUGGAUUAGGCAUGCAAGUCGAACGAAUCCCGGUAGCAAUAUCGGGGGAAGUGGCGAAAGGGGCAGUAAGGCAUGGGUAACCUACCCCGGGGACUGGGAUAGCCUUUCUAACGAGAGGGUAAUACCGGGCGAUGUAAGCGAGGGGCGUCUCUUGCUUACGAGAUGAAUUUCGCCUCGGGAGGGGCUCAUGUAGUAUUAGCUAGUUGGUAGGGUAACGGCCUACCAAGGCUGAGAUGCUUAGCGGGUGUGAGAGCACGACCCGCGCCACUGGCACUGAGACACUGGCCAGACUCCUACGGGAGGCUGCAGUCGAGGAUCUUCGGCAAUGGGCGCAAGCCUGACCGAGCGACGCCGCGUGGACGAUGAAGGCCUUCGGGUUGUAAAGUCCUUUAGUGGGGGAGAAAAGCGCAAGCUUGAUCUAUCCCAAGAAUAAGCACGGGCUAAGUUCGUGCCAGCAGCCGCGGUAAGACGAACCGUGCGAACGUUGUUCGGAAUCACUGGGCUUAAAGGGCGCGUAGGCGGUCUGCCAAGUCCGGGGUGAAAUCCUCCAGCUUAACUGGAGAAGUGCCUUGGAUACUGGCGGACUCGAGCGAGGCAGGGGUUGUGGGAACUUCCGGUGGAGCGGUGAAAUGCUGAUAUCGGAAGGAACGCCGGUGGCGAAAGCGCACAACUGGUCCUCUUCUGACGCUGAGGCGCGAAAGCCAGGGGAGCAAACGGGAUUAGAUACCCCUGUAGUCC
RNAcentral lists this ribosomal RNA (774 nucleotides) under uncultured bacterium. RNAcentral's name for it is "bacterial SSU rRNA". It matches the Rfam family "Bacterial small subunit ribosomal RNA", at positions 8 to 796 of the family's 1533-position model. The record is from RNAcentral.